UACGUAGGGGGCAAGCGUUGUCCGGAAUCAUUGGGCGUAAAGCGCGUGUAGGCGGCUCGGUAAGUCCGCUGUGAAAGUCGGGGGCUCAACCCUCGGAUGCCGGUGGAUACUGUCGGGCUAGAGUGCGGGAGAGGCGAGUGGAAUUCCUGGUGUAGCGGUGAAAUGCGCAGAUAUCAGGAGGAACACCAAUUGCGAAGGCAGCUCGCUGGAACGGUACUGACGCUGAGGCGCGAAAGCGUGGGGAGCGAACAGG
Molecule: ribosomal RNA, 253 nt
Filed under: uncultured bacterium
Lineage: Bacteria
Description: partial 16S ribosomal RNA
Rfam family: Bacterial small subunit ribosomal RNA
Source: RNAcentral